UAUCUUUGCACCCGAAUUACAUAAUAAUCAUUUAAAUAAUAUUGGAAUG
RNAcentral lists this non-coding RNA (49 nucleotides) under Epilithonimonas lactis. Its description in RNAcentral is "S15-Flavobacteria ribosomal protein leader". It matches the Rfam family "S15-Flavobacteria ribosomal protein leader". Lineage: Bacteria; Pseudomonadati; Bacteroidota; Flavobacteriia; Flavobacteriales; Weeksellaceae. The record is from RNAcentral.